Molecule: non-coding RNA, 48 nt
Filed under: Schistosoma mattheei
Lineage: Eukaryota; Metazoa; Platyhelminthes; Trematoda; Strigeidida; Schistosomatidae
Source: RNAcentral
AUCCAGCUGACGAGCCCCAAAUAGGACGAAACGUGCAUCAAACUGGAU